Molecule: non-coding RNA, 31611 nt
Organism: Rattus norvegicus (Norway rat)
Lineage: Eukaryota; Metazoa; Chordata; Mammalia; Rodentia; Muridae
Source: RefSeq, a predicted model, not a curated record
GUCUCACUUUCCCAGGCUGGCUGUUCCACCAAACUACAGCAGUCUUAGAAAACCUAAUGAGAGCCAGUUGUAGUGGCCGCUGGCAAACUUUCACAGAGUCGCUGAUUGGUCGGUGGCCGAGAGCUGUAGCCAAUCAGCGCGGUGUUUGGGCCCGCAUUUCGGACCAAAGGUCCGAGUGGGCGUCUGGCGGGCACAGUGGCCUGCAGAGACUCAAGGUGUGGAGGGCGGGGCCAGGGAGGGGUGAGCAUGUCUUGGGACCGGACAGCCAGGCGGCUGGCACCGCCAUCACCGCUAUCGCUGCUCCUGGUGCUGGUGCUGCUGUCACGAGACGGGGCUCUGCAUCCUGAAGAGCUCUUUCCUUACGGGGAGUCGUGGGGAGACCGACUGCUGCGGGAGGGCGACGUUGAAAGCUCCGCGGCGGCGAAGCUAGCAGCUGUGGAGCAACUAACCUCCAUGUUUAACUGUCAUCGCCGCUGGUGACCGGACUUAGCAGCGGUGCUGCAGCUUCUUGAUCCCUACUGUGGAGGAAUAAGGAUCAUUUCAAGGGAGAGCUGGAACCGUCCCCCUCUACUUCGACUUCCCAGGCAGGAAGAUGAAAUUGAGGCGGCUAGUGCGGUUUGCCUUUAGGGGCGGUGGGAGGCUGUGCACACAGGUAUAGCAAUCUAAUUAAGGACACGGCACCCAAGGUGUGCAGUGGUGGAGAAAGAUGAGCGGGUUCAAGAGCGGCCGCACCUGUGAGUCGCAGUGCACUUGAUCACUGUCGCCAAAGUUGAGUUUGUUACCCUGGAUGUGUCUCAACCUCCCAAGAGGAGGGAGUCUUCUUGACUCGAAAGCAAAUCGGACCGUAGGUGCGUUCGACUGGUGGUUGCCCACCACCAGUUUGAGCGACCACCGUUUUGCCCUUUAAAAAAUGUUUAUGUGGGGCGGGAUUCACGUGCUACCUUAUGCGUGUGAAGAGCAGAGAACAACCAGUUUUGUUUUUUUUUUUUUUAUCCCACCUUCUGUCGGGUCCUAAAUCUCAAGUCAUCAGGUUUGACAGCAGAGUGCCCUUACCUGCUGAACUGUCUCACCGCCUUGUGGUCUUAUUGUAGAUGGGCACCAAUGGGAUCAUCUCCACCCAGGACUUACCCAGGGAGACUUAAUAUGUCGUUGCUGAUUUUCCUACUGACUUCCCAGCCAUCACCCCAUUCCUGGCUGACAUCCACUUGAGUCACAGCAGUGGCCGGAUCCUGUAUGGAGGACACCUCCUGGGCUGUGCUGAGUCUGGCUGCUUGCUACCUGUGCACAGGCUUCCCCCCUACCCACUUCUUCCUGGCCACCUGGGAGCAAGUGGGCACCUAGGAGGAGGACAGGCCUGGGGACGCACGGUCUGGAGAGCUAUAGGAUCUUACCAUCACAUUCUGAUGGGUAGCCCUGAGCAAUGAGAAUUGACAACUCUGGUAUCAUCUCUGUGACAUCCUCGACCAACAACUUGAGAGCAAGGUGUCCUACAUCUAGCUCUGGACUUUUUGAGAACUUGUAGCCAAUGGAAGGAGAAUUACCCACCUUGUAACGUUCGUUGUAAGUUGCUGAACACUUUCCAGGCCGUUCUGGCAUCCUAUGAAUGUGAUUCCUAUGCCCUCUUUCUCUAUCCUGCCAAUGGUCUUCAGUUUUUGGAACUCACCCCAAAGAAUCAUACAGUGUCCAUCUGCAGGUUCCUGCUAAGGUGGGAUUCUGCCAAGGGGAAGCAGAUGACGUGAAGAGAAAAGCCUUGUAUUUCAGCCUGACUAACAGUGAGAAGUCGGUGAAGAAUCUCUACCAGGGAGUAAUGUGGAGUGUGUGACUGUGCUAUGCACUGGAAGGACAUUUAGGAGGGACACUAUCUCUAGUGGCCAGAAACUAUUUGAUAAUAACCUUUGGUGGCUUCUAAGAAAGGCGCUGGUUGAAAACCAAGAGCUAAGCUGGACCUCUGGAGCUUCAGGCUGUCCAAGAUUUAAAAGAUACUUUCUUUUUCCUGCACUAUCUGUCAGGCAUAGAAACCAGAACCAGCAGUGAUUAUAUGUUUUUGCAUAACUACUGGGAUUUGCUGUGAAAAACAUUGUUCUUGGGGCUACAUAAAAAUAUCCAGUCAUAACUAACUGCCUCAGUGGACGCUUUUCAGGUUAAUGAUUUCUGGAGAGGAGGCAUCAUAGUUCAGUCUUUCAAACAGGUAUUGUUAAGGAUUAAAUUAUGAGUACUAUAAUGGGGGGGAGGUAGAUGAGGCUUUUAGUCGUCUCAGGUUUCUCCUGGCACCAUCACCAGAAAUCAUGCUGACUGGUUUACCCACAGCGUUGCCAGAGACAAAUCCAUUUCUUAGUCUCCCCAGUGGGUUAUUCUGCUAGUGCUGCAAUAGGCUAUUCUGCAGGUGUCUGUCCAGUUGGUGCUCCUAAGAGACUAUUGACUUCAGGUGGGCUCUUUUGUCUUUGUAUUUUGCAAUACUAGCUUAGCCCACAGUAGUUACUUUGUGGCUUCCCAUAGUUGCUUCUCAUUCAAACUAGAUCGUGGGCAGAUAGAGUGACAGAGCAAAAAUUUGCCGAUCACUUUAUCUGCAGAGCAUUGUGAUAAAACCCUUGCAGAUAUUAUCUUAAUUAAAACUCUCUCAACUUAUAGGCGGUAAGUAUAACUAUCUUCUCAGUUUUACCAAUAGUCUUACCGAAAUUACGAAAGGUGCUUAUGUCAGAGUUAAAUGGCCGAGCCAUAGUCAAUACAGCUCUGAAGUAUGGAUACAGGGGUGAUCUCUUAUGCAGAGUAGAUAGGGUGUUUCUUACUUGGAUUUCAUGUUACCUGGUUGUUUGUAUUUUGGUUCAUUUUAUCAGUCACUCCGGUUACAGCUCACUCUGCCCCUCUCCUGCAAUUUUGAUAUUUCUGGAAAGCAUCAAAGGAAAUAGUGAAGAACCGGAGUGAAUGGAUGACAGUGUUUGUGUGCGUGUGCGUGUGCGUGUGCGUCUGCGUGUGCGUCUGCGUGUGUGUGUGUGAGCACGUGUAUGAAGGCCUUUAUGGCUCUAGACAACUGUCUCCUCACAUGCUUUUGCACACACACACAGGCACAGACACAUGCACACGCACACGCACAGCAGCUUCUUAUGGCUAUGCAGGUACCAAUUCUCAAUCUAAUACUCUGUGAUUCUUGGUCCUUCCCAGAUUCUGUUGGUGUCCAGGGGCUCUGCCUUUAAAAAUCAUAGUAUUUCAAGCACUCAGCCUUAUUUCCAAGGUUCUACAUACAAGUGUCCCCUCCUGUUCUGUGAUCCGUACCGGGUGUAGGUCUCCAUCUCACCCUAGUCUGUGUAGUCUAGACUCUAGAACAGACUUAGCAGUUGGCCUCUAUCCUUUCUCCUCUAACUUCUUACCCUCUAGCUUAAAGACUCUGUCUCCCCAGGUUGUACCUAGAGCUCCUUGGAAGGAGGGCUGAGUGCUUGAAAUACUACAAUUUUUAAGACACAGGCGUGUGCCAGAAAGGAGCAGCGUGAGACAUGACCAGAGUGAUUGACAAAUUUGGUGUGCCUCACGCUUAAUAAAAUGAGACAAACUACAGACAAUGGAAUAACAUAAAACGCAAGGCAGAAUUAUCCUACCACUACUCGGAGUGACAACUCUGCUACCUCCCCUUUCAGCGUGGGCUUUGCCUCCCAUUCAGUGUUUGCAUACUUAACACUGUCUCCUAGGCUUCUUUCCUCCAGAUUCUGUCAGUAUCGUUGUCUUAAGGGUUGAAACAUUGCAUCACACAUGCCCAGCAUUGAGGACAACAUUUGUAAACUAAAGUAGCUAAGGAUCAUGGUCCUAGCUCCCUCUGGAUGCUUUGCUGUACUCCUCCAAGGAGAAGAACAUUUUCCUAGUCCUGGAAUCUCUUCCUCCAACAGAGGUCAUACAUUAUUCAUGUUUGCAGGCCUCUUAUGAAACAUGCAUAUUCAGGUAGGGAAGAGAGUAGUUCCUGGGAAGGGAUUAGUCCCAGGCAGGCCAGCAUGGCUGUUCUGUUUUGUGAUACAGUUUUUCUUUCUAGGAGACAAAUUCUAUCUGUGAGCAUUCAUAAACAACCUCAGUGUGGAGGGUAAAUUAACUGUUUAGAUUCCCACCAGGCACUGUGGCAAAUGCCAGGAUAUUGAUUUAUGUCUCAUUAGAAGGCAUUUAUUUAGCUCCACUCUUGCAUGAUUUGUAUUUUCCUUCUCUUUGAAGCUUUGAAGCUGUCCACUUCCAAACUCAAGAGGUUUCCCAGCUGCAAUACCCUGCUGUGGGAUGGGCUGGGGCUCCAGGGUCUCUUCUUACUGAUUGGUUUCAGUUUUUAAAAUUACAUUACUGUGUGGGAGUUGGGGUUGGACGCAGCUGUUGGGGAGAUGUCUGGGUCGGAAUCCAGAUUGUCACAGUUUGUGCUCUCCCCCUACCACGUGGAUUCUGGGUAUAGCUCUAAGCUCUUGUAGGUAAGUGGCUUUCCCUGCUAAGUCAUUUUUUCAGCCUGGAGUUUUGUCUUCUGUGGUGUGUUUUAUUUGCAACCCUAAUUUCUACGAGCACCAACUGAGGGAAAGAGUUGAAGCUCUGCUGGUAGAACAUUGCCUAGGGGACACAAAGCCCAGAGUUUUGACCUUGGUGCCACACAAACAGGGUUUAGUAUCACACCUGGUAUCCCAGUGUUUGGGAGGUGCAGGCAGGAGGAAUAGAAGCUCAAGGUUAUCAUCAGCUACAUGAGACUGUGUCUCAAAAAAUGAAAAGAAACCUUAGCAAUUGAAUAUGACAAAUCACAGAAGGGACGAACACUGACCUGAUUGGGGAGGAGAGAGUUUAUUUGGUUUACUGUCCUGGGUCACACAGUGCAUUAGGGGAGCCAAGGCAGGAACUAAAGCAAGACAGGAACCUAGGAGGAGGUAGGAACUGGAGCAGAAGUCAUAGGGGAACAUUAUUAUUGGCUUGGUUCCUCUGUCUUACUCAGCCUGAUUUCUCACACAACCAGAGAUGGUACCCUAGGGUGGUAUCACCCAUAGUGAACUGCUCUUCCUCCCACCAAUCAUUAACCAAGAAAGCGCCCCUCCCCCAGACUUGCCUUCAGGCAUGUGUGAUUGAGGCAAUCUCUUCUCAGGUCUGCAUCAGGGUGACGAAAUCCAGCCAGUACAGCAGAGUAUCGUGAAUACACUUGGGUACAGGUAGUGGCUCGUGGACAGUGCACAGAAUGAGAGAGAGAUAGAGAACUGAAGAAAACCUCAACUCUCUUCAUUAUUGCAGUAGAAACCGAGACUAGAAUGAUGAAUACUUGCCCCAGUGAACAAAGAUCUCGUUAUAUGAUUCACUGGAUCUUAAUACUUCUUUUUAGCCAUUCCCUCUUAUUCUUGAUUGUUGACUUUUGAGGAAAUUACAUAGUCUGGGAUAAUUUGAGGUUUGGUAUUUCGUGCAAACACAGGAUUGAUAUCAUUGGCUAGGUCCCAUUUUCCAGAGUCAUUUUUUUUCUCCAUCUUUGUUAAAUUGGGUAUUUUUUAUUUACAUUUCAAUUGUUAUUACCUUUCCUGGUUUUCAGGCCAACAUCCCCCUAACACCUUUCCCCUCCCACUCUAUAUGGGUGUUCCCCUCCCCAUCCUCCCCCCAUUACUGCCCUGCCCCCAACAAUCACGUUCACUGGAGGUUCAGUCUUGGCAGGAUGAAAGGCUUCCCCUUCCACUGGUGCCCUUACUAGGCUAUUCAAUGUUACCUAUGCAGUUGGAGCCCAGGGUCAGUCUUUGGGUAGUGACUUAGUCACCUGAAGCUCUGGUUGGUUGGCAUUGUUGUUCAUAUGGGGUCUCAAGCCCCUUCAAGCUCUUUCAGUCCUUUUUCUGAUGCCUUCAAUGGGGUGGUCCCAUUCUCGGUUCAGUGGUUUGCUGCUGGCAUUCACCUAUGCAUUUGCCAUAUUCUGGCUGUGUCUCUCAGGAGAGAUCUACAUCCAGUUCCUGUCAGCCUGCACUUCUUUGUUUCAUCCAUCUUAUCUAGUUCGGUGGGUGUAUAUAUAUGGGCCACAUGUGGGGCAGGCUCUGAAUGGGCAUUCCUUCAGCCUUCCAGAGCCUUCCUAGCCCGAGCUUUCUCUUACGGUUAGGAGUCAUCUUACACAUGGCUGUCCUCUUCACAGCAAGCGUACCAUUGACACUGAGAUAGUAGGUGACUGAGCUGGCAAGAGUAGUGCCACAUCCCAGCAGAAGAUCUAGAGUUUCAGGAUAGCUGGGACUAUCUGGUGAGACUCCUGAGAAAAGAGAUUCUUGGGAACUAACAGGGGUUCAUGGUCUACUCUACAGAGAAAAUGAAGAUCUGUUCCCAAAUACUGAGCCUCAUUUUGAUUAAUACAUUUGUAUCUUACCCAUGUUGAACUUUUGCUCAAAAAUUGUUUUAGACUUGGUCAUUAAAAAGUCCUGAUAGAUCUAUCAUCCUCUGUCAUGAAUACAUUAGUCCAUGUGAAUCAGAGUACACAGAGAUGUUUGUAAGACAAAGUUUCUUGUUAGCAUGAAAUUCUUGCCAUGGCUUUGCCAACUUUGGGCUGUAUGAUCUGAAGAUUAGCUAACCCCUCAAAACCAACUUUUUCCUCACUAAGAUCUAGCACAGCUACCACCCCUAUCUUGCAGAGCACAGUGAAGACUGAUAAGUACUGGUGUAGGCACGGCUUGUAGAAAUCAGUAUUAUUUAAGUGUUUUAGGAAUUUUAAGCUUAAGUAAGCUUGAGUCCGAUUUAAGUUUUCAUUCUCAUCGAGAAAGCAUAAAAUAUUCUUGCAUUCCAUGUUUGAUCUCAAGACAGCCAGGUUUUUGACAGAAUAUUUGAUUUGGGCUUCUGGUGCAGACAUAUAACCUGAUGGCUUAGUGUUCCAUACACAAUGCCAAACAAAAGGCAGCUUAUAACAAAGUUCCUGUAUGGUAUUUAUCUCAGUUACUUAGAAGCUUUGCUUCUGUUUGACAUAGCAUGGAAAGUUUGGCUUUGAUCGUUAAAGUCUUUUGAUUUCAAUAUGAAUUCUGAAGGAGGAUGAAUGGACUGGUUACAAUCCACUCUUUCCACUGUUCUUAGACUAAGCAACCUGGGGAUUCCUGGGGCAUGGGCCUUUCACUUCAGCAGCAGGCUGGCCCUGGACAAUGUCUGGCCAGCCACGGUCAGAGGUGACCAUUCCACAGCCUGCUCCUCAGCGCUGGAGCACUCCUUCCACCAUGCUGCAGCCCUGGAGAUCUGUACUAAGGAUAGUUGCAAUUACCACAAUGAGAAUGGAGAGGAUGUAGAAUACCCACCAAUUGAACCAGGGCAGGCCCUGGAAGGCCACAGGAGAAUCGAUGUAUUGAUGUGUCUUUCAAAUCAAAGGCUAAUUCGAGCUUUGUGGAUGUUGGCACCACGUCUCCAGAGUCUGAUCACGCUUCUCCUUUGCCACACCCAGCACCUGGUAACUGGCCAUCCUACCGGGAAACAGAAUCGGCUUCUUUGGUCCAUCAAAUCAAACAGGGGCCACCUGUGGGAGAGGUAGAGGUCCUGGAUUUCAAGGACCCAGCAUUGCUUUUGGAUCCAAUGGGCACCAGAACCCCAGCUCCUCCACAGGCAGAUGCAGCUUUCCUAACUCCAGGCAGGAAAGACCUUGGGAACAGAAAACCCCAGUCCUAUCCAGAGGCACGGCCAGUGCUUUCACAGCCAGAUGUUCCCGCCGCUCCUUUGGAAGGAGAAAUCCUUCCUAAUUACCCCGUGUCUGGUACAUGCCACCCCUGAGUGGAGGGAGGUAUGUGGUAGGACUGGAUGACCACGUGAGUUCUAAAGCUCAAGGCAAGUGCAUUGAAAAACUGGGCAUUUGAGGUUUUGUUUAAAGAAAAUAUAGCAGAGUUGACAAACUAGACAUGGUCAUUCACCUGGGCCCAUUCCUGUACCAGUCAGGCUGGGACAGGCUGGGGCAGUCUGAGACAGAAAGAUUUUCUAGGUUCAAGAGUAGCCUGGGCCAUAUAGAGAAUUCUAGGCCAGCCUGGAUUAUACAGCCAGCUCUCCUCCCAAGUGUAAUGAAAAUUUUCGGUUUGCAAGUUCAGAGAAGGUGAACCAUGUCGAGGCUUCAUAGGCAUUGCAGGAUAGUGGGUACAGCCAUUUAACUUUGACUGUGGUAGUUAGCUGUGCAGGCUUAGGCAAACAUGCUGAAGAGCCUUAGGGAGAGAACAUGGUAUAGACACCUGUGUCUGCUAUUAGUUCUGGUUCUUGUCCCCAUAGCUGUGGCCUUCACCUCCCCUGAACCACCUUAACCUGGUUCUGUGACUCACUAGCACUAAAGGUAGCAGGAAGAAGGCAGGGGAAUGCCCAGAGGGAACAACUUUUCAUCCACCCUGAUGGAGUGGGAAACUGGUCCUAGAUUCAUCCUCCCCCACACCUAUCUCCCGCUCUCCCUGCUCAAUGAUCUCUGCCAGGAGGAUGUGUCAGAGGUCAUACCUCUCUCCACAGCAUUUCAACUUCACAGUUUUUCUGUCCGUGUAUUGACAAAAACAUUAACCUAGCAGAGAGGACCUUCUGGUUCUGCUGGGACAUUUUCUGCAGGUUCAGGGGUUGUUUAGAGAAAUAGUUCAGGAGGGAAGAAAACACUUUGUGUUUAACAGAGUAUAGAGUAAUAGUUAGGGGAGGACCGUUGUUGUCAAGUUUGAAUCUUGGCCAUGCUAAGGCAACUUAUUUCACCCUCAGGUCUCUGAUUUUCAUUUAUAAACGUAUUGCCAGGAUUUGUUGUUAGUAUAUGUUAUGUUUUGAUUGUCUGCAUUAGUCUGUUCCUCAGAAGACAAUUAAGACCAUCAUUACUAAUCUUUAGAGGAUUUAAAACAUAGCAAACUGGAGGAUGGGGGGGGGAGUAACAGCUGGGCUGGAAAACAGAGAAACUGAAAACAGAAAGUCUCAUUAAAAAGCUUAUGCCUCCUGGCUCCUUUUCUGCUUGAUGAAGUUUGAUGAGCAUUUGUUUUUGUUAAAGCCAAAGGCAUGGAUUUCUUUUAAACGUUCUAGAACUUUCAAAUUCUUCUAACAAUCUCCUAAAAUAUUCAGUGUGAGUUUUUUCUAUCUAAAGAGAUUUAAAGGCACGAAUCAAAAAUUUCCUCAAAGGGAUUUUGUGUUACAGAUGGGUUUUUGAGUGGCCUUUUGUUGGGGGUUGUAUUUUCCUGGCCCAGGAAGAGCACACAGUUAUUGGAAAGUGGUUGUAUGUACAGUUGUCUGAAACCUGAGGAGCGGGCUAUGGCCCAGCACAAAACUGUAAACUGAUGUAAAACCUUCAGAGAGUUUUCUUUUGCAAUCGGUCAUGGUUCUUGAAGCGUGAACUUUGUAGAUGAUAAUGUGUCACAGUGUCAAAGGUUGUGCGUGGCUGUUUAAGAGCUCAGAAAGGCCUGAAAUGGAACCAGUCACUGGGAACUGAGGGUAACAGCAUAACCCAGGAGGGACAUGAUCUGUGGUAUUUAAUCAGCUGCCAAAUGUAGUCAAUGCUGACAUCUAAAUGCUAGAAUGGUUAUGAAAAAGACUUUCAGGGGGAGAUUGUCCAACUGGAAGCUUCUAAGUCUUAGAGGAGAAAAAUACUUUUAAAUUUUAUUUAAAAAAAUAUUUAUGUGUGUUCAUGUGUACAAGUUCAUGUGUGGGAAAGCCUAGCCCUUAAGAAAGAAUGUUUGGUGAGCUGUGUGAACCAUAGAAACAUGUAAUUGUUAUUAUUUAUGUUCAGAGGAAACACUGUUCUCCCGGAGGUUUAUCCAGCAGCUGUGGGCUUACUCUGGGCAGCUGUUGACAUGGGGCUGAGACCUUCUAGUACCAGCUCAAGGUAGGAAAUUUGAGGCUUUUGGUAGUGGAUGGAAUUGAGUUACCCUGCAGCUCUGUUGUGUAGUUUGAAGACAGAUGCUGUUUGAACCUUAUUUUCUGAACAGAGAGCACCCUUCUCAAUAAAUUUUAACUUCCCCUUUAAGCAUAUAGGAUUUGGUUUGCUGAGUCAGGGAAUUAGGAUUUUGUUAAAGGCUCAGAAAAUUUCUCUUCUUUUUAGUAUUGUUUUCAUUAGGGUGUGUGUGUGUGUGUGUGUGUGUGUGUGUGUGUGUGUGUGUGUGUGUGUGUCUGUGUUUGUGUGUGUGUCUGUGCACGCCUGCCUGCCUGCCUGUGCAUAUGUAUAUGUGUUGUAUAGGCCCCAUAGGCAUAGGAAUAGGAGAGGUGCUCUGAAGUGGCCCCAGGGCAGCUUAUGCAGCAUGAUGGUAUAGACAGGUUCCAUGCUGCCACCCUGAGCAGUGUUUCUGUGUCCUGAGAGCUGGCUGCAGCCCUGCUCAUAUUGGGAGCUUUCAAUUCCAGGCUGCAGUAGGUUUUUGGUUGUCACAGCAGAGAGUAUCUGCAUUCUCACCUCCAGGGAGGUGGACUCCACUUGCAGAGAGAGAGAGAGAGAGAGAGAGAGAGAGAGAGAGAGAGAUUCAUGGGGAAAGGCUGCAGCGCAUUUGUUAGUCUCAGUAGACUGAGCAGCUGUGAACUUUCCCUUCACUAAGGCCAUCCCUAACUCAAGCAUCAGGAACUGUUCCCUACAGCUUUUACUCUGGACUGAGCUCACCCUCCCUGUUGCCUGCCCUGAUCCUCAGCUUCCACCUGGUUCCCAGCAGCUACACAAACAGACCAGUUCUUUUAGUCUGAGGCAGGGAUUCUGUUGCAGCUUUCAACCUGGAGUAGCAAGCGCUGCUGAGGUGCUGGGGUCCUCGCAGCUGGGAGAACUGAAGUAGAGGAGGAAGGUGUGGCCAGGUCGAAAGCUCUGGGCCAGGGUGUGGUGGUCUCACAGGUGGCCAUUUCUGAGCACCUUCUCCACUGCUGUUCUUAACCCCCUGGCUUCUGAUACUCGAAGGCCUCUUCUGACAUUCCCAUAGUGACGCAGGAAGGGGAGGGUUCUGUGGGCAGCAAGUAGACACACCACCCAAUCCGGAUCAGACGACCCAAGGGUGUCUGUUAGCCCCGCCUCCGCCCCUCCCCCAUGUCCCACCUCCAGACUGCUGCCAAGCUGCUCAAGUGGUUCUAGCUGUUGGUGGGGUCCUGCAGAUGUGAUAGGCUCCUCCUCUCCAGCCCCUCCUCCCCACCCACCUCUCAGGCCCUCCUGGGAUAGCUGUCCUCCUCUGGGGCCCUGUACUUGCUCCCAGCCAUGGUGGCUAGGCUCACUGCGCUCCUCCUUUACCUCGUUUUCUCCUUGGCCAUCCUGGUCCAGACAGGUCCCAAGGAUCAAACUCAGGUUAUCAGGCUUGAUGGCAAGUGCCUCUACCUACUGAACCAUUUUACCAGCCUCACAAUGGAUAUCAUUCAUCUGUGAAAGAAAAAGUUAUAUUCCUUGCUGGAAAAUGGAUAGAACUGGAUAUGAUCAUGUUAAGUAAAAGACGUCACCCCGAAAAACAAAUACCCAAGUUUUUCCCCUCAUGUGCUAAGUCUAUAUGUGGAUCCAUGUAUAUAUUUAUAUGCAUAAGACAUGAAGAUAAAGCAGGACUGUUGAGAAGAGGUAAGGGAGUAGUAAUGUGGCAAGAAAAAGAGGAGGUUAAUAGGGAAAAGAUAAAUAGAACCUUUUUCUCAGAUGUGAAAUCAGAAGGGAGACUAAGUAGUGGAUAAUGGGGAGAGUGAGCAUGAGUGGAGUAUGAAAUGUCAUAAUCAAGCCCAUUACUUUAUAUGUUAAGUUUUAAAACAAAAUAAAAGAACUGGUCAGUAACAGUAGGACUGUUGGUCCUAUGUAAGCAACAUGUAGCUCCAAAGGCUUUAGCAACCUUUUGGGGACAUUACUAUUCGUUUCUUCAGUAAUACCAUGGGGAUGACGGCCCUUUUCUCCUGGUGUGGCAGUUAUCAGGAUUAAAUAAAUGUGUCUAAAGUCCUCAGCACAGGACCUACCUUCCAGUAGCCCCUUUCAGAUUAGUACAAAUUAAUCUUACUUCUUCGAUAUUCCCAGCAACAUUUUAAUAAAUACACUUUGCAAAUCCUGACAGUGUUGUUUACAUGAAAUGGUCAGAGAUCUCACACCUAUACAAAGAAAAAGGGGGAAGGGGAUGAUGGCAAGUGACAGCUUAAAGGGCAAAGGCUUUGGGAAGUAAUAAAAACCUUCUAGAAAUAGAGAAACGUAAUGCUGUAUGUUCUUAAAGUAUAAUAAAAAUCAUUGAAUUAGACACAUUGAAAGGGUGACUUGUGUGAUGUGAGCUCUAUAUUCAUUUAAAAUAAUCCCCAAAGGCUGAAGAUUUCGCUCAUUGUCAGGUAGAAUAUAUAUUUAGCAUGUGCAAGGCCCUAGGUUCUAUCUUCAGUCCCAGAAAAAGAAAGGAAUGAGUAGAUAAAUGUAAGUUUUUUAAAAGGUAAGCUGGAUGUGAUGGCCUAUGUCUGUAAUCUCAGCAUUUGGGGAUGAUGCAGAAGGAUUGCUGUAAGUUUGAGAGCAGUCUAGAUUACGUGAUGAGGUCCACACUAGCCUACGGAAAGGAAAGGAAUCGAAAAUACCACAUCAUGUCCAAUAGAAAAAAAUGCUUUCCUAAUUAUACCCUACAUGGUGACACAUGCCUUUUAAUCUCAGUGCUCCAGGAGCUGAGUCAGGAGGAUCUUGAAUUUGGGGCUAGACUCCCCUCAGCAAACAGCCAACCAGAAUAAGGUGUACAUAAUUGUGGGUAAGAGCACAAUGACCCCAGUGCUAAUUAUACUGAGUGGACAGGCUGGGUUCCUAACAGGAACUUGUGCACUGAUUUGGGGGUAUCAAGCUUUAUACAUGUGCCCCAGAAAGAGUGUGGGAUUGGCUUCAAGCUCCUUGAGUGCCUUCAUCAGUCCUGGGAAUUGGGCAUCAUGAGGACAGAGAGAAUUUUCUUUCCCUCAGUGGUACUAGGGUCACCAUUUUGUCAGCUAGUCCUCCACAGGGUCUAGAGCCUCAUUCUUGAGACGUUUGAUAAGUUUUCAGCCCCUCCUUUGGUGGUAUAGGCCACGUCUUCAUUUUUCAGUACAAGACAGACACCAGGUACCUGUAUCAAGUGUACAGAAGCCAUUUGAAUGGAUAUUUGUGGGUAGCAACAAAAAUAAAGUUAUGGUUGGGGGUCUCCACAGCAUGAGAAAUGGUGUUAAAGGGUCACAGUGUGAGAUGACAAGAAAAAGGCUGCUCAGAGGGGCCUGAAGCCAGGAGCUUCACUGGGUUCUGAGAGUAGACUUUCUAGACACACUGAGUUUCCUGUCUCCAGUUGUGCUUCCUACCUGAUGGUUUGGCUUUUCCAACUUUAUGUCUACUGUCACUUUGUACAUUUUUAAUGUUGUUCCUCUGCUGCUCUUGGGUUCCCAGAAAGCCUGGCUCAGAGGCUCCUGAACCUUUGUUUAUUCUAGACUCAGCUCUCCCAGUAGCCUUCUCAGAGGUCCAGUGACUGAGGAUUUGGUGUUCUAAAGUAGGUAUAUAUAAGAUCACCAUUGGAUUUCUGGUGAAUGUCUGUAAUCUCAACACUCAGGAGGUGGAGGCAGGAGAACCAGGACUUCAAGGCUAGCCUCAACUACACAGCCAAUUAGAGGCUACCCGCUGGUAUAUGAAACCUUGACUCCACUUUUCCAUACAUCUGCAUAUCUGCCCUUUGUGGCCUUCACAGUCACACAGUGUUGCUUUCAUUGAACUCUACACAUUGUAAGUCCCAUUGGAUGGUGGAGAGUCUAGGUCACGGUACAUAUUCCACCAUGAAAGUGGAGGAGUGUCCAAUGAAUUUUAGCCCCAGUUUCUCAACAGGCACAAACUCAUGGAGUUGUAGGGUCCUGCUGAAAUGCUGCACCCCUAAAGUUCUCCCCAGUCUUCCCAGUGGCAGUGACUGUAUACCUCUAGCAUGAAGCUGGUCCCUUUAGUUCUUUGAGUAGCAAUGACCAUUAGAGGUAUUUGGUGACCUGCACAUCUCUUUAUUUCUAGCACUUUGAAUGAGGCCAUGAUGUGUCUGUCAAUUGUCGGUUGUCACGUUCCCCCUCCAUUGGGGUUGGGUGUGAGCUAGUUGGAUCCAAAGAUUUUUCUAGAAUUUUCUCUAUGGUGAGGCUUCAUACAGAGAGUACAAUGUCCAGUGGGACAGCUCCCUUAGUGGAAUUGGCAGAGCAUCCGUCUUCAGAAGUCUAGAUCAGGAGCUGGGGCAACCUGGGGGCCCUUGUCUAUGACAGAGAAAAGUUACUUAGGUUUGCCUGUUUCUAGAUGCAGACAGCAGAGCAGUUCCUUAGCACCAGGCCUUUGAAUUUUAGCCUGGAAGUUGUAUGUGGGUUGGGGUAGCAUAGUGUGAGAAACCUGUCUAGCAUAUACGAGGUUCUGGGUUCCAGGAAGUAGUGGUGGGGCAAUAACAGGAAAAGGAAAGUUGCUUGAUUGAUAGUAGAUAUCUUGUAAGCAAGGGAAAUGUGGGUGCUGUCCUGUGUGGUGUAAGAUGUUUGGCACAUAAUCUCUUGCUUUUACCCAGCAGGUACAGCACCCUGCUCACUUGCCUUGCAACCUGAAGAUGACUGCAGAGAGCAUCCAGUGUGUGCCAAGCAGUAGAUUUCUACUGGUGGAGCAUCAGUGAUACUGACAAAGAUGUCUAUCUCAUGACUCUUGAGAUAUCUCUAUAUGCAUGUGGUUCUAGGGCUGAGAAGGAGGAGAGCCUUGUACAUACCACGCAGGUGCUCUACUACUGCCAAGACACAGCCUAGACCUUGGCAGAGUUUUUCAGAGACAGGAUAUCUGUGUGUAUGUAAUGCUAUUCUUGAACUUAUAAGCCCCUCCUGCUUCUGCAAUGAAAUGCAAGGAUAAAGGUUUCAGACAGCUUGCAGAUGUGUUUUUGUUGUCAUUUUUUGUUUUUUUGUUUUUUGUUUUUUGUUUUUUUUACAGUUCCCUCUCUUGAUUUCAAUAUACUCAAACACCAAGGUUUUCUGUUUUCCUUGCUGCCUUAGUACAGAUGUGUUGGAAGAAUUGAGGUCAGGGGCCAUCUUUGUGGGUUGGUGUCAGCUCCACUCAUCUCAGACCUACCCUGGACUCUGGUGAGCUUUGGCUGUCCUAACUGUAUAGCAAGUCACUGAGAUGGGUAGAUGUUAGGUCUCGCCAGUCUCAGUGCAUGAUGACUUUUAUUUUAUUUUUGGUUUUGUUGUUUUUUGUUUGUUGUUUAAUUUGAAAAUCUUUUAUAACAAAAGUUUUAAAAAAUGUACUUUGAUGGCUAGUGGAAGAUGCACUCUGUCUUAUGCCUUUAAAAUCUAUUUUAACGUGUCAUAUGAUAAAUAUCAAUAGUCAGAAACCAUAUUUAAAAAGCACAUGAAGGUCUUCAAGUGUUUUAGCAUCUAGGGAUGUAAGACCAAAAAGUUUGAUGCUUCCUUUGGCAAAAUUAUACUCAGGAGAGUGGUUUCUGCUGUGCACAGUGUUUAUCACUUUAUUGUUAUGAAGUGAUACCCAACUAUCUCCUGUGGCUGUUUUGGUUCUGGUCACCAGCAGCGUACUGAAGUAGCCAUUGUGUAAUGGCCUUGUCAGCACUUGUCAACUUUAUCAUGAUCUAAACCCGCAAGAUUUAGACAUUUAUUAUACAAUUAUAUUAUAAUUAUUUAUUUGUAAUUAUAUUUAGUUUACAUGCUUCCAAUUACUACGGAGUUGUCUAAGAUAGUUUCUUCUUUAAGGAAUUGCCUGGUCAAGCCUUUGGCUCAGUUCCUUGUGUAUAUUUUCUCCUGGUUCCUGCUCACAAUGCUCUUUUUUCAUGUUUUCUUUGCUGUAUUUUUUUCAUUUUUUUUAUUAUCAUUACAAUAUCUAUCUAUUGAUCUGUCUGUCUGUCUGUCAAUCUAUCCAAGUCAUUCCCAUUGUUUGCCCUAAUCUUAAGUAGUAUAUUUCUUUAUUUCUUUAUUGACUUAUUUUAAAAAGUCAGUAUCUUUUGUUUAUCAAGUCAUGGACUUUGUGUUAACAGACAAGGAUGUAAAAUAUUCUUCUUUGCUCUCAGUUUAUAAUCUAGUACAACAAAACCAAGAGAAUAUAAUAUAAACAAGGGAUUGAACCUAGCAUAGUCGCUUACUAGCCAAAUGCUUCUGAGCUCUAUGCACAGCCCCAACCUUGUCUUUCUAAAAUUAUGCUUUGUUUUUGAGAUCUACUUGCCUGCAAGUUUCUGCCACUUACAGCUGAGAAUAAAAUUUUCAAAGUUUUAAAUGCUAUUAGGAUUCCUCCCCACUGCCGUUGAUUUUUUAUUUUUUAGAGAAGAUCUUCCUGGGUAGCUCAGUCUGCCAUGAAAUCUCAACCCUCCGCCUUAGGGUUUACAGUGCUGCCACUGGAGGCCUGCCCCACUAUGCCUGGCCUACCUUGGGCUUUAAAAUAUUGUUUUAGAUUUAUUUUUUACUAUUUUAUCACUAGAAAUAUUUUUCCUACAUGCAUGGAUGUGCAUCAUGUGCUGCUUUGCGCCUUCAGAGGUCAGGAAGGUGUUCGAUCCCCUGGCACUGGAGUUACAGAUAUAAGCAGUCAUGCAGAUGCUGGAAAUCAGUUGCCAGCACCCCGGUCAGGUCACUUACAACCACCACAGCUCCAGGUCCAGAGGAUCUAAGGCCCUCUCUGUAGGGACUGCACUAAUACAGAUUUAACCCCUCGGCCCCUAUAUGCAUAAUUUAAAAAAUCUUAAAAGAUGUAAUUGUCUUUUACAUUAUUGAUAUUUCCCAUUCAAAUGUGAUCUAUGUGAUUCUUUUAACUUUGGGUUUAUUUUCAUAAUCUUAUUCAUUUUCAUUUCUCACAGGGCUGUUGCCAAGCAUUGUAUAGUAUAGAUUCCUGUUACGAAUAGGAUCUUUUCCUCCUCCUCCUCCAUUUCUCUAACUCAUGAAUAUUGAUGCCUGAGAAAACUUAAGAUUUUUUUUCAUAUAUCUGAAAUUAGCAGCAACACCCUUAACUACUUUCUAAAGUUUUGUGUGUGCAUGUAUAACAUGAACAGCUUCUGAUGAUGGAUGACCCAUAGUCUCUAAUCUAUACACGCAUGCACACACACACACACACACACACACACACACACACACACGAGAAAGAGAGAGCUAGAGGGGCAGAAAGAUAGAGACAAAGAUAGAGAAACAAAGACAGAGAGACAAAGACAGAGAGACAGAAAGGCACAGAGAUAGAGACAGAGACAAAGACAGAGAUGGAGAGAGGGAGACAGGGAACACUUCACUGACUGAGCUACAUUCCUCCUCUCAUGUUUUGUUUUGCUGUGUAGCCUAGGAAUGUGUCAGGAUGCUUGGUUUUGACCAAGUUUUUGAAAUGUACAGUUACAGAAUACUAUCCAUUAAGUCCAGUUGAAUAUAUGAUUCAUACACAAACAGGCUUUUUGGUCUGUUUUAUUUACUGUUAUAUCCCUAGGACAUGCAAGAGGGUAGGUGUUUUUCAGUUCAAUGGAAGGAAGAACAGAUAAAUACCAAGUUUUCCAUUCACAAGCACAAAGCUAAAGUGAUUUUGUUUUGAACCAGGCAUAGUGGGCAAGUUGAAGUAAGAAGAUGGUUUGUGUGUCUUCUUAUUCUCUGAUUCCUUUUAUAUGGUAGCUCUCUGCCUCACCAGGCUUCUUAUUCAUGAAUUUUCAUAACAGCUUUAUUUGAAAUUGCCUGAUACUGGAAUGAACGCAUAUGUCCCAGACAAUGGAAUGAACUGUAACAAUCACUUGGUGCACUCCAGUGGGAGAGAUGGCUUCACAGUUGGGGUGAAUGGACUCAGACAGUGUUAAACACUUCAAGCAGUACGAUGCCACAAGUAUUACUUUGUUGGAAUUACCUCACUAUGGAGGCAGAAAGCAAAUUAGUGGUCAUUUGGGGUCUGAGGUGGGUAGUGGAUGGAGACCUAGGAGAGGUAGAGACAAGUAUGUGUGUUAAUCAGAGGUGAGUAGAAGGGGCCAGUAUAGUGAUGUAACUGUUCUUUUCCUGGACUGUGGUGGGGUCUCAUGACACAUUUGACAAAAGUAUGGAUGAGCAAACCUUCUCCAGUGAAUGAAGGUAAAACAGCGGAAGUCUAAACCCAGUGUAUGGUUGUGUGAAUUUCUGUAUUUUUAUUGUGAUGAUAGACUAUGUCUGGCCAUAAUGUGACUUUUGGAGGAAACUGAGCAAGCACAAGAAACCUCUUAUGUUGCUUCUUACAACUCUGUGAGCCUAUAGUUAUGUUGCUAAACUUUUGAGGUCCUGUGGCUCAGUAAUUCUGAAGACAUCUGCAUACAUGUCAUGGGUAGAGGGCAACACCAUGUGUCUUCAAUUGUUCUCUACUUUAAAAAAUAUAUUUAUUUAUUUGCACUUUUGUGUCUGUUUUGGCUGCUCAUAUGUAAGUGCAUCACUCGAAUGCAGUGCCAGAGGAGGGUGCCAGAUCUCCUUGAACUGGAGUGCGGGUGGUUGUAAGCCAGGUAACACAUACCCAGUGCUAGAUUAACAGCCGAGCACCACCACAUCUGGCCUUUACAUGGCUGCUGCACACCUGAACUUAGGCUCUUAUGCUUGUGCAGCAGUAACGGUACUCAGAGGUCUCCCUAACCCCGUUUGACUGCUUGAAAUAGAAUAGGCUUUUCUGACAUUGGAAUUGUACCGCCCAGUUCCUCGUGCUCAUGUGCACAGCUGGUUUCGUGCUUGGGCAGUCAGACUUAGGUUUUGGUUGGAAGCCUGGUAUAUUUAUGGUCCUUAAGACAUAAGACCUCCCUCUCUCCAUCUCACACCCUGAAUACUUGGCCAUUUCUCAUCCUUCUUCUCAGCACACAUUAUACAGGGCAUCACUGAUGCAGAUGGGAGCUGCAGAACUCCUGAUCCACUAAGAUGUGAGACAUGUCAUCUGCUGACUCCUGUGGUCCCUUACCGAGCCACUCUGUUAGGCUUCCCUCACCAUGAUGCACUUUAUCCUCUAAGACUCGAGUCAGUGUGAGGCCUUCCUCUGUAAGUUGCUUCUGUCAAGUGUUUGUCCCAGCCACGAGACUAGAAGUCCGAGAGUGGAGAGAUGGGCUGGGCUGUUCCUCACUUGGUUCAGAACUUGCUUGGUCCCUACCAUCAGAUAAUCCCAGGCACAGAGACUGCAGUUACACACGCUGUCAAGGUGCAUUCUAGCUGCAGCAUGGCUCAGGACUCUGUGCCUUUGCACCUGACUGAUAGCCCACUGCGUAGCUGGACUGCAUCAUAGGAGAUGACCUGUCCUCACCUUUCUCUAGUAUUACUUCUCUCUUCUUUCCUUCUCCUCUCUCCCCACCCCGUUUCUUCUUGUAUUCCUUUCAGCAGACUGGACUGCCCCAGUGACCCUGCACUUCUGCUUGUCAUGCAAUGGAAGAUGGCUGUGUUGCUGUCUGCUCAGUAGUGUUACAAGUGAUAUGUGAUUGGCCAGCAUCACCCUUUUUAUUGUUCUUGGGUAAUUUUCCGUAUUCCACGUGUUUCUCCUGAAAAUAGAUGCUUGAGUUGCUUUGUUUUUAUUACAAAUGAAACAUGUCUGAGAGACCAAGGAGGGGCAUUCCUGACUAACGGAGCACAUAUAUGUUUAAUGUCUUAAGAAUCUUCUGGGGGUUUCUAAAGUGUUCCUACCAUGUUACCCUCUCAGCAGCAAUGCAUGGCACAUUCCAUCCUUCCUCAGAGUAAGAGGAACUUCCAGAGGAACAGAAGUGGCUUAAAUCAGAAAAACAAAUUCACUCAAGAAGAGCUUUGAAUCACUAAUAAAUGUUGACUGAAACACAGAAACAUGGUAGAAGCACUUUGGAAUGCCUCCUGUGUCUAGCUAGUGUCUGUGGACACCCAUGUGCUCUUUUUUAUUUAUUUUACUCUUUCCCGGGUGUUUGGACAGACCAAGGAUACAGACAUGCAUGCCUGAGGACAUAAUGUUUUAUUUAUACAGAUGUGUGUGGCAUCCAGCUUGAAGUUCUCUGUAAACAGGGCCAGCUGUUCCUGACAUUUUCCUCUUCUCUGCUUUUUCUUUGUAUAGAUGCAGACAAUGGAAAAUGAUGAUUUCUGUUCCCUCUGAUCAAAGACUGUUGACCUUUCAGCUGUAGCCUUAUCACAAAGCCAAGAACUACUCAUUGAAGGGGGGAAAUGGGCCUGUUGACAUUUUACAGGAUUUUUUGAAAUGUUAAAGAUCUUUUUGAGGGUAGGGCCAAGGGCACAGACACCUGUAAUGUGUGCACUGUCCUGAACAUUCUCAGGAAACAGGGGGCUACUGCUUUGUCUGUACUCUUGGAACAAACACAUACCCUCCUGAAAGGACCAGAGUUUGUUGUGCUGAUAGAGGGUCACGUGGUAGACUGGGCUGAGGCCUUCACAGCUUCUGUUGAGGGAGUAGUACUGGAGGGGGGAGCCUUUCUGUCCGGUAUUCUUUUCUUUUUUUUUUUCCGGAGCUGGGGACCGAACCCAGGGCCUUGCGCUUGCUAGGCAAGUGCUCUACCACUGAGCUAAAUCCCCAACCGCUCUGUCUGGUAUUCUUAAACAAUGCUUGUCAUUUGGGGCUUUGAUAUGUUGCUUAGGCUAAGACUUGGCAGGACACUUCCAUAGAGCAGGACACACAGAUUGGUAUGGUACCAAAGUGGCAGGAAAGCAGUUUUUUUUUUCAUUUAAGAAUUUAAGAGGAGGGCUCAAAUCCUGUGCACUCUGUAAUUUUGGUCAAUCGUCAUUGGCUAUCUGUUAGUCUGGCAGUUUUAAAAACACGAAAACAGUAUUGGAAAAGUAUGUUCCGGCUCAGGGGAAAACCCAGGCUUUGCCAACCUGACUUUAAACAUCUUUUUUCAUAGAACUUAGCACAGCUAGUGAUGCUGGGGGUGGGGUGGGCAGUGUAGGGAAGAAACUUAAUUAGGCAAAUUUUGAUCUUAAAGCUUUAUUCCUAUGUUUCCUGGCAGGCUGUUCUUUAAUCUCUAGAGCAAGAUUGCUCAGAAUUACCAUAUAUUUUCAUUAAUUUCAUUAAAAUUAUAGCAAAGGUUGUUUUUGCUAUAAUCAAGAGUGAUUUUGAUUAAUAUUUAGGAAAUCAAACCCCUCGCCAGCAGUGGGAAUGAGAACAACCUUCUCAGUUAGUCGUCCUUUCUCUUCCUUCUCACCCCUUCUUGCAAAAGGCCAAAGAUACAAAUGCACCAGAGGGAUUUUUAAGAGUCUGUUUGCCUUUGCAGAUAGUUCUAAGGAAAACACUACAAAAUGGGAGUCCAUUUUCCUCUCUCUUGAGUGUGAAGAAAGAACACACGUGUGCACACCAGCCUGCCUUGGCUGGCAACAAACAGUGCCAGGAGCACACACCCUCUCGUACAGGCUGACUGUUAUGUCAGCAGAGAAUGCUGGGAAAAUCUAGAAGAUGAAGCAGGUAACAUACCCAUGUACCCAUGUAAAGAGGACAUGAAAAUUGCAGACAGGUAUUAGAUAAAAACUAACGGACCAGUCGAAGAUGAUCUAUCUUUGCUUUUAGAAACGAUACCUACUGAGGCAUCCCACAUUAUAACUUGCUCUGAUUUCAAAGCAUAGUUUGACAUGUGUGUUUUUGUGCUUAUGAUCUGUUCAUGAGCGUUCAUUAGUACACUAUGUACAGUGUGAGGAGGAGCAGGUCAUUGAUGGAGAAAAAGAUACUGGAAAGAUAGUCAUUUGACACGCUAUAGUUUCUAAUGUUUCAACCACACCCUCCUCCAUUUUCCUCCCUUCUUUCCAUUCUUUUGAGUACUGAUGCUGGAAACCAUGACCUUGUGUGUGCUAGGCAAACACUCUAUCAAUGAUUCUCUGUUGCCUCCUUAUUGAUCUGUGUAAUAAUUUUUGAUCACAGGAUAGGUGUAAAAUAGUGUUUCUUCACUAUCUCCUCCUUCAAGGAGUGCUCAGUACUCUAAUCAAAGACAGAACCCAUUUGUCUAUUGUCUUUUUCCUUGCCAACCUCUAUGGUUCCUGCUUUUAGGAAAAAGUGGGGCCAGCUUAUAGGUUCAGAGGUUCAGUCCAUUAUCAUCAGGGCAGGGGCAGGACAAUGUCCAUACAGAUGUAGGGCUGAAGAAGCUGAGAGUUCAACAUCUUCCAAGGGCAGAUAGGAGAAGACUGGCUUGCAGGCAGCUUUUAGGAAGUCUUGUCAGACUAUUUCUUAUGUUUGGACACUGUAGGUAUCUGUGUUGCACUGCUUUCUUAGGGCUACUGGGACACAGUGGAGUUAAAGUAUACAUUAACAACUGGCCACACAGCAACAUUUGAUCCAUUAAAGACUGAAUACAUGAUAGUAUGUAUUAUUUACUUCUUUAUUGCUUUGAAAGACAACAUGGCCAAAGCAAAUUAAAAAUAAAAUUAGGAUGAUGUUUCCAGAAGGUUAGAGUCCAUGAUGGCAGAGAGAAGCCAUGGUGUCAGGAGCAGCUGAGAGCUUACAUUUUGUAUAAUUUAGUGUGAGCAUGAGUGAGUGUGUGCAUGUGUGUGUGUGUGUGUGUGUGUGUGUGCGUGCGCGCGCGCGCACGCACGCACGCUCAUGCAUGCACAAGAGUGUGUACCUUUAUGUGUAUGUGUAUGUAUAUGUGUAAGAAGAGAGAGAGAGAGAGACAGCGAGACAGAGAGACAGAGAGACACACACACAGAAAGAGAGAUUGAUAUGUACCAUGGUGCCUGUGGAAGUCCAAGAAAAGUUAUGGAGUUGAUAAUUUCCCACCUCUACAUCGGUUCAAGGAAUUGAGUUCAGGUUAUCAGGGUUUCUGCUUUUUAGGCAGAAGAUAACUGUACAAUAAACUGGAUAACUUAAAAUUUGAAAAGAAAUAAUAAUUUUUUCCAAUUCCCCAGAAUGGAAUUCCCCAGAGUUCAAAAUAUCAGCAGAGCCAUGCUCCUGAGUGUUCCUGGAUUUGAAUGGAAUCCUUCCUCCCCACCCCACCCCCGCCCCAUUCUUAACUACUUUGUAUCUCACUAAAAUAUAAGAACAGCUAACCAGUUUCCUGUGGAUAGAUGUGAUGACUUGGAAGCCUUUCUUCUGGAUUUAGAUUAGUGUGAGCAAAGGAUGUGUCCCUCAGGUGAGUGGAAUGCCAUUCUUUGUCACCUCAGCUUUCACAAGUCCUUUGUAAUCACAGUAAUUGCAAGAAGCUGUGCAGACGACAGGGUCAUGGUACAAUGUUCACAAAUGCCAAUGUGUAGCAAAGGCCUAAUAAUACACUAGGUGUGAAUUAUAAACUUCAAUUAAGGCCUUUGCCAGUCAUAUUGCCCAGUUAGAAUAUACAUAAUUGUAAGUAGGACUCCAUUUUUUUUUUUACAAAAAGAAUAUUUGCUUGGUAAAAGUGUGACAUUCAAAAGUUAGCUUAAUAGGAUGUGGAAAGAUUUCCCAAUGAAUACUGCAGACCUCAGAAGAGCAAAGGCGAGCACAUGGUUUGUUUUAAACAGAUGUUACCUGCUGUGGAAACUUCUUUCAGGCAAAGAAUACAAUGUUCUUAUUGUUCUCUAGGCCACUGAUGGAUUGUUAUAUACAUAGGAGAAACGGGGGAAAUAGUCUCUCUAUUUCUGCUUUAAACUUAGAUGCCUAAAGCAACACAAAUCCAUCCAUUAACAUUUUGGGUAUUAGGCAGCUGAAAGAUUCCCACUAGAAUAAAGUUCAGCUUUUGCAGCAUUGUCCUCCUCUGAAGGCUCUAGUUUCUUUGCCUUUCCUGAGUUUGUUCUUAUUGUUUGUUUUGUUUCUUUUUGUUUUGUGAAAUGUGUCUUCAUCUCAUGGAUCAUGGCUCCUUCCCCUGAUCCACUGACUACAUGUUGUCUGAUUAUCACUCUUCUUUUCUUAUCAUGACCCUAGAAUUCACUUUGAGCCUGUCCAGAUAAUACAAGAUAAUAACUGUAUCUCCAAUACCUUAGAAGCUAGCUUAGUUACAUUUUAUAGUGAUUUCUGCCUCAUAAAGUAUCAACUGUGUAUGCCCUGACACUCGAAAUGAGAACACCCCUGAGGGAUUGCAUGCAUUACAGGAAAUUGAACAUUAUAUCAUUAGCAUUGUGUCGUGAUGGCACACUGUUUUUAUUUUACAUAAAACCACAAUAGAUUCUCAGAAAAGAUCAUAUCUAGACAACUUCCAUAUAUGGUUUUAAAAACAGUGUAAGAUCUUAUGAAAAUCAGAAAUGAAAAUUCCACAAUAUGUGUGUUAAGUGCGGGGUCAGCUGAAAUGACUGAGACCCAUUGCAGGGGCCUAAGUACUUUUUCCUUCCACUAAGUGGUGGUUAAUGAGCACACAGUAAGCCAAAUGGACUGUGCAUGCAGUCUUCUUCUUUUGUAGCCUGGGUUCUGCUAUUUUUGCACAGGUCUGGUAUUCAUGUUUUUGCAUGUGUCUCACUUGGUAAUAUCUAUGUUACUCACAAUGCAGGUCUAAGCGUGACAAACAUGUUGAGUGUACAGUGGGGUUGUGUCUCAGCGGCUCUACCACAGGUGUCUUGCCUCAGGCCUCUUGGGCAUUCUUUGUGCAGAAAUGUUAGAACUCAUCUACCCAGUGAUCCCACAGAGAUGUUGGGUGAUAGCCAGGACAUAAUGAUUCUCUGGUUGGGGGGGGGGGAGGGACAUGAUGCUUUAAGUGUGUUUUAAAAAUUAUCACUUUUACUUUUGAAAUUAUAACAUAAUCCCAACAUUUCUCCAUUCCCUCCACUUCUCCUCCCACCAAACCCUUCCAUGUGGGCUGGAGAGAUGGCUCAGUAUUUAGAAGUGUAUUUUACUCUUCCAGAAGAACUGAGUUUGGUGCCUAGUACCCUUGGCAGAUGGCUCACAACUGCCUGGACUUCUAGCUCACAGGCUCUGAUGCCUCUGGUUGCCUUGGGCAUUCACACAUACACAGGAUGAAAAUAAAAUAAAAUAAAAUAAAAUGUUAAAAUGACUCCCAUCUACUCUUGCUUGCUCUCUUUCAAGUCCACGACCUCCUUUUUCAUUAAUUGUUGUUACAUGCAACUAUGUAUAGAUUUUCCUACAUACAUAAAUAUAACCUAUUCAACCUGUCUAAUGUUGCUCGUAUGUUUAUGUUUUCAGUACUGACUACUUGGUAUUGGGUAAAAAUUGACCUGCUCUUCCCCGGGGAAGACUAUCAAAGUCUCAGCAUUUCUUAGUUGCAUGUAGUUCUUUGUGUAGAGUUGAGGCUUCACGGGCUUUCAUCCACUUUGGCGUGUCUAUUAGCUUGGUAAAUCAAUUAAUUUAUUGAGGCUUAGUUACUGAGAAGAAACUGUGUGCCUGAAAGGUAGCUGCAUCACCAAAAGCUCACCACAGAGGAUGGGGAGAGGGUUCAGUCCGUAAAGUGAUUGCUGCAUAAACAUAGGAAUAUGAGCUCAAUACCGAACACCCACGUGACAAGCCAAUGCCAGUGGCACACACUUGUGCUCUCAUUGUUGGUGAAAGGGGGAGAGCAGAUCCUUGGCACUGAGUAGAAAGUUGACUUGACUUAAUUGCUAUGUUCUGUGUAUGUAUGAAAGAUUCUGUCACAAAAAAAGAAGGGCCUUCAAAUACCCACAAAGGUGUGUGUGAACCUAAACAUAGAAACAUACACACACACACACACACACACACACACACACACACACACACACACACACACCUGCACAUACAUCUACAAAGUUUGGUUUUGAAGUUCCACCCCAGCAUGGGUGAUGGCUCACCAAAGCUGUAGACAUAGAGCGCUCUGAACAAUUUACAGGUAGCCCGAGGAACCAGAGGCAUUUUGAUAAGUUUUAUGAGCCCUACAAGUCUACCUUCUCACUCUAGGAAGGGAUUAGCAGUGACUGACUUUAUGGAGGACCAUACUUUGAGCUGUUGGAAGGGACAAAAGUCCUUAAAGAAAACGGUGUGCAGUAAAGAGUCACAGGGUAGGUUGUAGCUGGACUGGAACUAAAAUCCUUGCCCUGCCUUGUUUAGAGCUGCUUCACUCCAGUCCGUUUCUAUCUUCAAGAGGCCUCCUUCAUGAUAUACCUUCCUCCUCUUCUUUGAGGUAGGGUUUCAUCGUAUAGCCCUGGCUGGCCUAGGACUUGACACGUACACCAAGCUGUACUUGAAAUCGCUGUGCAUACCAGGCUCGCCUUGUGCCUGUAGUAGAACGUCUGCUGACUCCCAGUUUCUGGGAGUAGAGAGGCUCUCGAGAGGACCUGGAUUCAGUUCCCAGCAUCCACACGAUAACUCGCAGAUGCCUCUAAGUCCAGUUUUAGGGGAUCCGAUGCUCUCUUCUGAUCUCUAAGGUUUCUUGCACACUCGUUGAUUUUAUGUGUGUGUGUGUGUAUCAUAUUAAUAACAUAUUAAAUAAAUAAAAAAUUUUUAUUUCUUGCCUACGUAGGUGCAGAGUAUCACUCUUUGCCUUUGCUGAGGAAAGGUUUCCUCUUUCAAAUUAGCUGCCCCUAAGCCAUCAUCCAGCUCACACACAAGUCUUGAGUCUCCUUAUGAGCAGCAGUAAUUAGAUGGACCAGAACAUGAGAAGGGGAGUGGAGCAAUAAAACAGGCAAAAUAAUUUCGCAUUACUUCCAGACUGGUAUCUCAGGGAAAACUGCUUAAUGGACUGCUUGUUCUGUAAGUUGGGUUAGCAUUCAAGUGUGUGUUUCUGGGGUAGUGCUUUGGGCCCAGGGCUAGAGAGAGAACUGUCCAUCUCUACUGGUUUAUGGUACUGUUAGUGUCGGUCAAGAGGAUAAGAUCUCCAGUCUGAGUGGAGACUGGUUCGAUCCCUUUGGUAAGGGAUCACCAUAGAAAGGUUGGCUCACCAGCUAAAACCUUACUGAAAAGAUAGAAUGGUUUUUAAAAUGAGACACUGUACUUUUCUUUCCCACGAUUCCCACCACCAUUGUUCAGAAGCUUACCGACCAGUCAUGUAAAAGGUCCUAAGUCCUACCCUAUGACCAAGUCAGAAAAGCAUACAUAUUUUUCACAUUUUCUAUCUCUUUUCUAAGUGUUCUUUCCUUAGUACUGGGGUCUUUAUCCCCAGCAUUUUGGGCCUCCCUACUCUUUCCUUAAAACUAGUAACCCCACAUGUGGCUGCUUGCUGGCCAUGAGUCUAACCUCCAUGGCAGCUUAAACAGCACGGCAUGGCCCUUCUCCUUUCUCCUCCUCUGGGAGCUGCUAAGGCUUUACAGCUUGCCAGUCCUGGGGUUCUUCUUCUGAACUCUAAUAAAUCGUCCUUGUGGUUCUUUGUGAGUGUUUUUAAGUCCUGUUGUCAGUGUGACUCCGAAUCCCAGAGGGGACCUUGAUCUUCCCUGUGUCACUGUGGGAGGAAGAUUAUAAGAGUUGGACUUGAUAAUAUUGAAUCCCAUGUUCAGGAUUUGGAAGUAAUAUGUAAAGGACUCUGAAAAGAAGCAAGACUUGGCUACUAGGCUGUAAGCUUUUGACUCAGAAACUUUUUCGGUGCAUUUGUAAGCUUGGCACUAGCAGUAAUUGCCAGGUUGUGGAGAGGGUCCACAUGACCCUGUAGCUUUGGGCAGGUUGAGUAUGGUACACUGGGUGGUUCCAUUUAAGUGGGGCUGACAGUGCUGUUUGGAGGGGUAUAUGGGAAGAUUUGGAGGGAGGGAAGGGAGAAGUGUUGUAGUUAUAGUCUCAAAAAUAAAGGGCCUUUUGCACACACCAAGUACGUGUGCUAUCACCAAGACAUUUCCCUAGUCUAAUAACCGUUUUCUGUAUUCAUUUACCUAGAUAAAGCUUGAGUUUUUUUCCCCAUACCUUGGCUACUGUGAAUAGUUGUGCACUGAGCGUGAGCGUGCAGAUGCCUCUGAUUUACCAACCUCAGUUCCCAAGCUUCAUAUAACUGGAUUAUAAGAUAAUUCUAUGCUUACUUUUCAGGAGCGUCCAUACCAUUUUCCAUGGGCUAGGAUUAAAGCUAGCUUCAUUGCACUUGCAGUUUUUGUUUCCUCAAAGAUUAGACUUGUCGUACAUUAUCUUUUAAUUCAUCGGUUGACCAUAAACAUCAUUUCUUUGUGGAAAAUGUCACUUAAUUGCAUGGGUCAUUCUUUAGCUGUGGUGAAACAUUUUGGUUGGACGCAUGUUAGUCUCCUUGUUUUGUGGUGCUGGGAAUUGAACCCAGGGCUUUCCACUUGCGGAGUGAGCUCUUGGCCUGUAAGCUCCGCCUCACUGCUGCAGUUUGCUCUUUUGCCUAUGCUUUGGGAAUGCUCUUCAGGAAACCAUAAGCCAGACCAAUGCCCGCUACUUCUUUUAGUACCUCUUCAGGAUUGGGUAUCACAUUUAAUAAAUUGCAAAUUAAUUAUGAUUCAGUUACUGUAUUGGAAUAAAGGUCUAAUUUUAUUCUUUUGUGUUUUCCCAUCAGUGAUUCCUGAAGACACUAUCCUUAACCCUUUGUGCAUUUUCAACUCUCCGUAAGAGUUACGUUCGACUUUAUUUCUGGGUUGUGUAUUUUACACUACUAUUAUUUUGCUUUUAUUUUUGGCAGCUUUGUAGCAUGCAGGUCAAGUACCGCUUAUACGGAUUUUAGAUCAUUUUGUAUUUCUGACUUUUAUAUUAUCGCCAACUUGUAGUUCGUGCCUGUCACUGACCAAUGUUGGCCCUGUCACUUUCCGCACUGGCCACACAGGGCUUUCACUUAUUCUGAACUGCGUCCUAGGAUUUGUGAUGUGUGAUUUUAUUUGUUCUGUUCCUCAAGUGCUUGUUUAAAAUCUAGGCUCAGACUUGAAAACUAGCUUUUCAUUAAGAUUUUGGUUCCCAGCAUCCAUGGCGGGCUGCUAGCUCUACCUCCUAGGGAACUGACAUUCACUUUUGGUUUCCAAGAGUACCUGUACCUAUGUCCACAGAUACACAUAUAUAUGUAAUUUUUAAAAAUUAAAAAUAAAAAAAUUAAAAUCUAGACUCUCCCAUUUGAGACAAAGUGUGUGAUAUUCAGCUUUCUGAAUUAAUCCUUGUAUACAACCGCUGCUUCUGUGGGGUUCCAGAAAUGACCCAGCAGUAAAGAUCACUGACUGCUUUUCCACAGGACGUGGGUUUGUUUGAUCCCUAACAUCCACAUGACAGACCAGUCAUCUGUAUUCCAGUUGUAGAGGACUUGACACCCUCUUCUGGCCUCUAAAGGCACUGCAUGCAUGCCAUGCAGAAACAUACAUGGCGCGCCAAUACAUACACAUACACACACACAACACACACACACACACACACACACACACACACACACACUCAUAUAAAGGAAUUUCAAUCAUUUCCUUUAGAUUACCCACUUUGUUGUUUUUUAAAAAUGCUUUGCUCUGCUUGGCUUUCCCUUUGUUCUGCUUUCUAGCUUUCUGAGGUAUAACAUGAGGGCUGAUGUAUUGCAGGCUUCCAGUCAGGACUGCUUUCCAUUUGCAUGUAUUGUGAUCCCAUUUGCCCUUGUCUCUGGAUCCUGUUUGGUUUCCGUCUAGUUGGUUUUCCUUGACUUAUGGAUUGUUGAGAAGAGUGUUGUUAAUUUCUACAUAUUUGUGAGCUGUCUCUCUGAUCACUCAGUUUUAGUUUUAUGAUGUUGUAGUCAGAAAAGAGACUUGAUAUGAUCCCACUCUUCCAUAAUCACCGCUGGAAUGUGCUUCGUGUAUUAGCACACGAUCUAUGAUGUUCCCUAUGUGUGCAUUUGCAAAGAACACUUGUAAAAGCCACUGUUUCUCCCCAUGGUUAGGUCAUCCAUUUGAUGAUGGAAGUUUCCUAUUACUGUGUUACAUUCUAUGUUCAUAUCUAUUAAUGGUUGCCAUAUAUGUUUGGGUGCCUGACAAUGGAGACACACACACACACACACACACACACACACACACACAUGCACAUAUCUCAAAUGCAUUUGACUUGUUGCUGAAGUAGCCCUUUUGCAUUUUGUAAUGAUCUGUUUCUUUCUAUCACAAUGGAGUGUUUGACUUCUGCUCUAUUUUUUCUUGGCGUAAGUGACCAGUCCAGCAGGUCCAGUUAUUCAGGGUCCCGAAGAGGCCUUCUACCUGUGUAUCAAAUGGGGGUGAAGAGAAGAAGGAGACCAAGCAAAAGUUCUGUUGUCAAGGUCUCGUUUAUUGGGGUGAACGUUACAGCUUUUAAGGUUUUCAGGUAGGGGGAGUGUCCUUAGUGAAACACAAAGGAUGGAGGGAGAAGGGCAUUCCAGCAGCGAGAGCAGAAGGUGAAGAGGUCAUGCGAUGGAGACGCUGGAGAUGUCUGGUGUUUGCUCAGACUGAAACAUCCUUGAAUGUUAUCUUCCUGUGCCGUAAAUUCAUGGGAGAGGCUUUUGUCCAACACUCUCAAGACUUAUGACAGUCAUUUCAAAGUUGAACAUCUGUGGCCAUGCAGCCAAGAGUCACGUAGACACUUUGAGCCACAAAGCGGCCAGGCCCAAAUCCAAUAUGGCUCCCUACACGUAAGUAUAGCUACUUUGGAUUUUUGUUUUCCGUUUGCAUUCACAUCCCCCUGUUUUAAAUGACAAACACCAUGUCAAGAGUCUAUUUUAGCAUCAGCCUCAGUGGUGAACACUUGCCUAGUACAUUCUAGGUCCUAGGUUCAGUUCUCAGAACCACAAAUUAUAAUGGUAAGGACAAAGAAAAUAUUACAAUCUUUCCUUCAUUUUAAAAACUACCUAAAAAUUAAAACUACCUAAAAACUAACUUAAAAUUGUCUUCUUCUUUGCAGGAUAUGGAGACUUUGAUGAUUUUAAUCUGGAGGAUGCACUGAAAGAAACUUCCUCAGUAAAGCGUGACUCAAACAAACAAGUCCACCAAGCAAACAGAAGUGGUCAGCCAUGCACCACACUGACAAUCUUGCCUUCAGAAAAGUACACGCAUAUGAGACUAGCUGUGCCUCCAUCUACCUGUUUGUUCUGUUGUGCAAGGCUUGUGUCGUUUUGUCAUACGUGUGUCAUCUUCCUUUUACAUUUAGAAAAUUUCAUAAUUUUCACUAUGUUGAAACCACAAGAGAACGUGCAUCUGCCUUCGCCUUUUUUCUGCUGUACAAAAAGAGAACUCCGACCCGUUUCAUUCCUCUCACUGUUUUGUUUUGAGACAGGGUCUCUUGAUUAAGCCCGAGUUGUCCUGAAAUUCUCUGUGCCGAGAAGCCCGGCUUUGACUUGGGUCCAGUAUUAGAGCAACAGUGACUCUUGGCCACUGAUGUGCAUUUCUAGCUUCAGAACCCAUGACUUUUUAUGAUUCUUCAGUGUGAUCCCCACAAUGGCCUCGGGGACCUAUACCAAGACCAUUCUCACGAUGUGACUUCUGUAAACCAUAAAGCAGCCACUGUGUUUUACAAUCUGCUUCCUUUCGUCCUCCCUUCUCCCUUCAGAGAGCCACUUUAGCACCACGACUAGAAGGACAGGAACAACCAGAGCCUCAUCAAAUCCAGCAGGUAAUGAGGUGUGGGAAGUGAGGAAGGCCAGACUCACCUGAGAAGGGACACAAGGAGGGACUCAUUAGGACUCCAUCUGGGACAGGGUCAAAAGGAGCCAUGUAGAAUUUUUAGCUGCACAUAUGAAAAGUUAGCAAAGGCACCCAUGUGAAUGUUAGAUUUAAUUCAACAGAAUCCCAUCUGGUUGGUCACUGUGCCUUACGUGAAAGCCAUGCGUUUCCACUUCCCUAUUGCUUUGGGUGACGAUGGCUGCCAGAAUCCAGGUACAGGAGGCGGAAGGGGUGAGCUGAAAUUGACUUAAGCCCCAGCCUAUCCCCAUAGCUCCCAGGUUAAACAUGAGCCAUUCAUAGUCGAGCAGAGUUGGGCAACCUGAGGCCUAAGGAGAAGUCUUCAACGAAGAUAUUCAGACGUUUUCAUGAUAUUCUCUAAGUUUUUGAAGAUCUCGGGAGAGUUUGUGUAUGUGGGUCACAUCUAUAAAUACUUCUCAUCUGAGAACUUAGAACUAAAAACUGAUAUUAAUCCGAGGAAAAUAAAAAGCCAUAUGCAUUGAC